UUGAGAUGAAAAUGAGUCGGG
Molecule: non-coding RNA, 21 nt
Filed under: Caenorhabditis elegans
Lineage: Eukaryota; Metazoa; Nematoda; Chromadorea; Rhabditida; Rhabditidae
Source: RNAcentral